UACGGAGGGGGCUAGCGUUGUUCGGAAUUACUGGGCGUAAAGCGCACGUAGGCGGCUUUGUAAGUUAGAGGUGAAAGCCCGGAGCUCAACUCCGGAAUUGCCUUUAAGACUGCAUCGCUAGAACGUCGGAGAGGUGAGUGGAAUUCCGAGUGUAGAGGUGAAAUUCGUAGAUAUUCGGAAGAACACCAGUGGCGAAGGCGGCUCUCUGGACCAGCACUGACACUGAGGCACGAAAGCGUGGGGAGCAAACAGG
Molecule: ribosomal RNA, 253 nt
Filed under: uncultured bacterium
Lineage: Bacteria
Description: partial 16S ribosomal RNA
Rfam family: Bacterial small subunit ribosomal RNA
Source: RNAcentral